This 497-nucleotide ribosomal RNA is filed under the name uncultured bacterium. RNAcentral describes it as "partial 16S ribosomal RNA". It matches the Rfam family "Bacterial small subunit ribosomal RNA", at positions 28 to 507 of the family's 1533-position model. The record is from RNAcentral.
GAUGAACGCUGGCGGCGUGCCUAAUACAUGCAAGUCGAGCGAACAGACGAGGAGCUUGCUCCUCUGACGUUAGCGGCGGACGGGUGAGUAACACGUGGAUAACCUACCUAUAAGACUGGGAUAACUUCGGGAAACCGGAGCUAAUACCGGAUAAUAUAUUGAACCGCAUGGUUCAAUAGUGAAAGACGGUUUUGCUGUCACUUAUAGAUGGAUCCGCGCCGCAUUAGCUAGUUGGUAAGGUAACGGCUUACCUAGGCGACGAUGCGUAGCCGACCUGAGAGGGUGAUCGGCCACACUGGAACUGAGACACGGUCCAGACUCCUACGGGAGGCAGCAGUAGGGAAUCUUCCGCAAUGGGCGAAAGCUUGACGGAGCAACGCCGCGUGAGUGAUGAAGGUCUUCGGAUCGUAAAACUCUGUUAUUAGGGAAGAACAAAUGUGUAAGUAACUAUGCACGUCUUGACGGUACCUAAUCAGAAAGCCACGGCUAACUACGUG